Molecule: ribosomal RNA, 495 nt
Filed under: uncultured bacterium
Lineage: Bacteria
Description: partial 16S ribosomal RNA
Rfam family: Bacterial small subunit ribosomal RNA
Source: RNAcentral
GAUGAACGCUGGCGGCGUGCCUAAUACAUGCAAGUAGAACGCUGAAGGAGGAGCUUGCUCUUCUGGAUGAGUUGCGAACGGGUGAGUAACGCGUAGGUAAUCUGCCUGGUAGCGGGGGAUAACUAUUGGAAACGAUAGCUAAUACCGCAUGACAACAGUUAUUGCAUGAUAACUGUUUAAAAGGGGCAACUGCUCCACUACCAGAUGGACCUGCGUUGUAUUAGCUAGUUGGUGAGGUAACGGCUCACCAAGGCGACGAUACAUAGCCGACCUGAGAGGGUGAUCGGCCACACUGGGACUGAGACACGGCCCAGACUCCUACGGGAGGCAGCAGUAGGGAAUCUUCGGCAAUGGACGGAAGUCUGACCGAGCAACGCCGCGUGAGUGAAGAAGGUUUUCGGAUCGUAAAGCUCUGUUGUAAGAGAAGAACGAGUGUGAGAGUGGAAAGUUCACACUGUGACGGUAUCUUACCAGAAAGGGACGGCUAACUACGUG